RNAcentral lists this transfer RNA (65 nucleotides) under Koreoleptoxis nodifila. Its description in RNAcentral is "Koreanomelania nodifila tRNA-Phe". The record is from RNAcentral. Lineage: Eukaryota; Metazoa; Mollusca; Gastropoda; Pleuroceridae.
ACUUUAAUAGCUUAUAUAGAAGCGUGGCGCUGAAGAUGCCAAGGAGGCAGACAUGUCUUAAAGUA